RNAcentral lists this transfer RNA (36 nucleotides) under Sylvietta virens (Green crombec). RNAcentral describes it as "partial tRNA-Phe". Lineage: Eukaryota; Metazoa; Chordata; Aves; Passeriformes; Sylviidae. The record is from RNAcentral.
GAUGUCAAGACGGUCGCCACACAGCACCCAAAGACA